GAUGAACGCUGGCGGCGUGCCUAAUACAUGCAAGUCGAGCGAACGGACGAGAAUCUUGCUUCUCUGAUGUUAGCGGCGGACGGGUGAGUAACACGUGGAUAACCUACCUAUAAGACUGGGAUACCUUCGGGAAACCGGAUCUAAUACCCGAUAAUAUUUUGAACCUCAUGGUUCAUAAGUGCAAGACGGUCUUGCUGUCACUUAUAGAUGUAUCCUCGCUGCAUUAGCUAGUUGGUAAGGUAACGGCUUACCAAGGCAACGAUGCGUAGCCGACCUGAGAGGGUGAUCGGCCACACUGGAACUGAGACACGGUCCAGACUCCUACGGGAGGCAGCAGUAGGGAAUCUUCCGCAAUGGGCGAAAGCCUGACGGAGCAACGCCGCGUGAGUGAUGAAGGUCUUCGGAUCGUAAAGCUCUGUUAGUAGGGAAGAACAUAUGUGUAAGAAAAUGUGCACAUCUUGACGGUACCUAAACAGAAAGCCACGGCUAACUACGUG
RNAcentral lists this ribosomal RNA (497 nucleotides) under uncultured bacterium. RNAcentral describes it as "partial 16S ribosomal RNA". It matches the Rfam family "Bacterial small subunit ribosomal RNA", at positions 28 to 507 of the family's 1533-position model. The record is from RNAcentral.